RNAcentral lists this ribosomal RNA (457 nucleotides) under uncultured bacterium. Its description in RNAcentral is "partial 16S ribosomal RNA". It matches the Rfam family "Bacterial small subunit ribosomal RNA", at positions 338 to 795 of the family's 1533-position model. The record is from RNAcentral.
CCUACGGGAGGCUGCAGUGGGGAAUAUUGCACAAUGGGGGAAACCCUGAUGCAGCGACGCCGCGUGAGUGAAGAAGUAUUUCGGUAUGUAAAGCUCUAUCAGCAGGGAAGAAAUAAAGUCCUUCGGACUUUGGACGGUACCUGACUAAGAAGCCCCGGCUAACUACGUGCCAUCAGCCGCGGUAAUACGUAGGGGGCAACCGUUAUCCGGAUUUACUGGUUUUAAAGGGAGCGUAGACGGCAUCGCAAGUCGGGUGUGAAAUCCCCUGGCUUAACCAUGGAACUGCUUGGGAAACUGUGCAGCUGGAGUGGAGGAGAGGUAAGCGGAAUUCCUAGUGUAGCGGUGAAAGGCGUAGAUAUUAGGAGGAACACCAGUGGCGAAGGCGGCUUACUGGACUGUAACUGACGUUGAGGCUCGAAAGCGUGGGGAGCAAACAGGAUUAGAUACCCCUGUAGUC